This 253-nucleotide ribosomal RNA is filed under the name uncultured bacterium. RNAcentral describes it as "partial 16S ribosomal RNA". It matches the Rfam family "Bacterial small subunit ribosomal RNA", at positions 524 to 776 of the family's 1533-position model. The record is from RNAcentral.
UACGGGGGGGGCAAGCGUUGUUCGGAAUUACUGGGCGUAAAGGGCUCGUAGGCGGCCAACUGAGUCAGACGUGAAAUCCCUCAGCUUAACUGGGGAACUGCGUCUGAUACUGGAUGGCUUGGAUCCGGGAGAGGGAUGCGGAAUUCCAGGUGUAGCGGUGAAAUGCGUAGAUAUCUGGAGGAACACCGGUGGCGAAGGCGGCAUCCUGGACCGGUAUUGACGCUGAGGAGCGAAAGCCAGGGGAGCAAACGGG